CAGCAGGCGCGAAAACUUUACAAUGCGGGAAACCGUGAUAAGGGGACACCGAGUGCCAGCAUCAUAUGCUGGCUGUCCAGGUGUGUAAAAUACACCUGUUAGCAAGGGCCGGGCAAGACCGGUGCCAGCCGCCGCGGUAACACCGGCGGCCCGAGUGGUGAUCGUGAUUAUUGGGUCUAAAGGGUCCGUAGCCGGUUUGGUCAGUCCUCCGGGAAAUCUGACGGCUCAACCGUUAGGCUUUCGGGGGAUACUGCCAGGCUUGGAACCGGGAGAGGUAAGAGGUACUACAGGGGUAGGAGUGAAAUCUUGUAAUCCCUGUGAGACCACCUGUGGCGAAGGCGUCUUACCAGAACGGGUUUGACGGUGAGGGACGAAAGCUGGGGGCACGAACCGGAUUAGAUACCCGGGUAGUCCCAGCCGUAAACGAUGCUCGCUAGGUGUCAGGCAUGGCGCGACCGUGUCUGGUGCCGCAGGGAAGCCGUGAAGCGAGCCACCUCGGAAGUACGGCCGCAAGGCUGAAACUUAAAGGAAU
RNAcentral lists this ribosomal RNA (532 nucleotides) under uncultured archaeon. Its description in RNAcentral is "bacterial SSU rRNA". It matches the Rfam family "Archaeal small subunit ribosomal RNA", at positions 333 to 865 of the family's 1478-position model. The record is from RNAcentral.